GAAACUCCAUCCUGAGGGAUGCUGCGGCGAGAGAAUCUCCAACUCAUGGAGGCUGAGCUUCUGCGGGAGAGGCCACAGCCUGAAGAAGAGGUGGGAUCGGAAAUAAACCCGCCUGGGAGACCUGCAGGCACCAGCAGUAUUCAGAGACUCAAAUCUGGGACCCCGUUCUGAGUGACAGCAAGUGCGUGGACACACACAUUCUUGAAGAUACUGCUUUUCACUUCACAUUGUUCUACUCAGCGUCUCCACUGCUCCCAGCGUCUCUGCUGUGCCUCUUCUGGACAUAUAGAAGUGAUGUAUUCUUCAUAGUCUAAGAGCCCCAGCAAUAUUUAUAGCAAUCUUUAAUUUCCACUUAGUAAGUAUUUUGAACUUAUGAAAUUCCUGUAAGUGAAUUUUAGGUCAUGCCACGUGUACUCCACCUUCUGAAGUCUGCCCGUGAUGACCUUCUUUCAGGUACAAUAGGUACAAUUUGUCUAGUGUAGAUUGUCUAAUCUUGAUUAAUAUAGAUUUUCUUCAGUUCAGAAAUACAAUUUAAAUGCCAUUAAAAACUUAAUUUUUGACUGA
Non-coding RNA from Homo sapiens (human), 564 nucleotides. The record is from RefSeq and is a predicted model, not a curated record. Lineage: Eukaryota; Metazoa; Chordata; Mammalia; Primates; Hominidae.